CUCUCUCCCCUUUUUCCACAUAUCCCUCCAAUCUUACCAGACCUCUUAAUGGAAGUAUUGAGAUACUGUUUGGAUGGCCUCCUUGGGGACUCUCUUUGCAUGUUUUGUGUAUACGUUUGCUAUUUUGCAUAUAUUUCUAUGAGCAUGUGGUUGUGGUAGACUAUAUUGGCAUCAUUUAUGGAUCAAAACUAGUGUGAUUGUGUCUCAGUAGAUGUACAUGUAAUUUAUGCAUCAUGUGAAGUGGUGUCUUUUAUGGCUUGCCAUUGAAGAAUGUUUUAGAGCAUAAAUUGGUUUUGUUACUAGUAGAAUUAUCAGCUUCAUUUACCAAGUGUGUUUUGUAUUUUAUUUUACCUUUUUUUUCUCAUAUUUUUUGAUAAAAAACUAAUAUUAAUUUAUGAGACUUAGAAAGAGAUGGAAUUACCAAAAGCAGGAGGAUAAGGAAUCCUCCUCAAGAUAAAACAAGAGAUAAGUGAAAAUAGAAAAUAAAGCAAAUAUCUCAAUCAUGCAAGAUGCCCACAAUGGAAAGCCCUUUAAACCCUUAAUAAGACAUGUACAUAUGAAAACCCAAAAAUGAAUCUUUCUUUUUGUUUUAUUUUUUAAACCCAUAAUAGAUUAAAUGGCAAAAGUUUAUUAUUGGAAGUAUUAGUGUUCCUCUUCUCCAAUGAUACCAAAGCACCACAACUGUAGCCUAGUAUUACAAGGUUCGUGCACCUCCAUGCACCAACUUGUAGUUUUUAUAGGCUGACUAUGCCUGUCUUAUUAAUUAUAUACUUAACAAUCCUCUUCCAUAGUCUUCGUAAAAUUUCUCAUCCUCUACAAGCAAAGACCCACAAGAAUUGAAAAUAAAGGAAGAAGAUGAAGUGGAACAAUGGAUAAGCAAUCCUAAAAGGUUUAUAUGCUCUCCAAAAGAG
Molecule: unclassified non-coding RNA, 911 nt
Filed under: Hevea brasiliensis (rubber tree)
Lineage: Eukaryota; Viridiplantae; Streptophyta; Magnoliopsida; Malpighiales; Euphorbiaceae
Source: RNAcentral